UGGGGAAUUUCGGACAAUGGGCGAAAGCCUGAUCCAGCAAUGCCGCGUGUGUGAAGAAGGCCUUCGGGUUGUAAAGCACUUUUGUCCGGAAAGAAAUCCUUGGCUCUAAUACAGUCGGGGGGAUGACGGUACCGGAAGAAUAAGCACCGGCUAACUACGUGCCAGCAGCCGCGGUAAUACGUAGGGUGCAAGCGUUAAUCGGAAUUACUGGGCGUAAAGCGUGCGCAGGCGGUUUGCUAAGACCGAUGUGAAAUCCCCGGGGCUCAACCUGGGGAACUGCAUUGGUGACUGGGCAGGCUAGAGUAUGGCAGAGGGGGGUUAGAAUUCCACGUGUAGCAGUGAAAUGCGUAGAGAUGUGGAGGAAUACCGAUGGCGAAGGCAGCCCCCUGGGCCAAUACUGACGCUCAUGCACGAAAGCGUGGGGAGCAAACAGGAUUAGAUACCCUGGUAGUCCAGCGCCCUAAACGAUGUCAACUAGUUGUUGGGGAUUCAUUUCCUUAGUAACGUAGCUAACGCGUGAAGUUGACCGCCUGGGGAGUACGGUCGCAAGAUUAAAAC
Molecule: ribosomal RNA, 558 nt
Filed under: uncultured bacterium
Lineage: Bacteria
Description: partial 16S ribosomal RNA
Rfam family: Bacterial small subunit ribosomal RNA
Source: RNAcentral